RNAcentral lists this ribosomal RNA (253 nucleotides) under uncultured bacterium. RNAcentral describes it as "partial 16S ribosomal RNA". It matches the Rfam family "Bacterial small subunit ribosomal RNA", at positions 524 to 776 of the family's 1533-position model. The record is from RNAcentral.
UACAGAGGGUGCAAGCGUUAAUCGGAAUUACUGGGCGUAAAGCGUGCGUAGACGGUUAUGUAAGUCAGGUGUGAAAGUCCCGGGCUCAACCUGGGAAUUGCAUUUGAGACUGCAUAGCUAGGGUGCGGAAGAGGGAAGCGGAAUUUCCGGUGUAGCGGUGAAAUGCGUAGAUAUCGGAAGGAACAUCAGUGGCGAAAGCGGCUUCCUGGUCCAGCACCGACGUUCAGGCACGAAAGCGUGGGGAGCAAACAGG